This 901-nucleotide ribosomal RNA is filed under the name uncultured bacterium. RNAcentral describes it as "bacterial SSU rRNA". It matches the Rfam family "Bacterial small subunit ribosomal RNA", at positions 8 to 905 of the family's 1533-position model. The record is from RNAcentral.
AGAGUUUGAUCCUGGCUCAGAUUGAACGCUAGCGGGAUGCCUUACACAUGCAAGUCGAACGGCAGCACGGACUUCGGUCUGGUGGCGAGUGGCGAACGGGUGAGUAAUGUAUCGGAACGUGCCUAGUAGCGGGGGAUAACUACGCGAAAGCGUAGCUAAUACCGCAUACGCCCUACGGGGGAAAGCAGGGGAUCGCAAGACCUUGCACUAUUAGAGCGGCCGAUAUCGGAUUAGCUAGUUGGUGGGGUAACGGCUCACCAAGGCGACGAUCCGUAGCUGGUUUGAGAGGACGACCAGCCACACUGGGACUGAGACACGGCCCAGACUCCUACAGGAGGCAGCAGUGGGGAAUUUUGGACAAUGGGGGAAACCCCGAUCCAGCCAUCCCGCGUGUGCGAUGAAGGCCUUCGGGUUGUAAAGCACUUUUGGCAGGAAAGAAACGUCAUGGGUUAAUACCCCGUGAAACUGACGGUACCUGCAGAAUAAGCACCGGCUAACUACGUGCCAGCAGCCGCGGUAAUACGUAGGGUGCAAGCGUUAAUCGGAAUUACUGGGCGUAAAGCGUGCGCAGGCGGUUCGGAAAGAAAGAUGUGAAAUCCCAGAGCUUAACUUUUGAACUGCAUUUUUAACUACCGAGCUAGAGUGUGUCAGAGGGAGGUGGAAUUCCGCGUGUAGCAGUGAAAUGCGUAGAUAUGCGGAGGAACACCGAUGGCGAAGGCAGCCUCCUGGGAUAACACUGACGCUCAUGCACGAAAGCGUGGGGAGCAAACAGGAUUAGAUACCCUGGUAGUCCACGCCCUAAACGAUGUCAACUAGCUGUUGGGGCCUUCGGGCCUUGGUAGCGCAGCUAACGCGUGAAGUUGACCGCCUGGGGAGUACGGUCGCAAGAUUAAAACUCAAA